This is a long non-coding RNA of Felis catus (domestic cat), 409 nucleotides long. RefSeq lists it as uncharacterized. NCBI's taxonomy places the organism in Eukaryota, Metazoa, Chordata, Mammalia, Carnivora, Felidae. The transcript has 3 exons. The record is from RefSeq and is a predicted model, not a curated record.
UUGCUCUUCUGAUCUAGAACAUAUGCCCUCCCCAAGACUUCAAGGAAGAAGCAACAGCCCCACUAUCAGCACCCAAAGCUGAAAUUCUUUCUUAAACUAUUCCUUGCCAAUACCAGAAACCAACACCACAACUUUCAUAAUUCAUAUAUUGCAUAUACCCAUACUGUGCUUGCCCAGUAUGUCUUCAUUUUCCACAAAAAAACAAGUGAAAAUCCCCUAUUACCAUGACACAAAACAUGUAAUGUGAAAUCAGCCUAUCAAUUAUUAACCCAUAUGUCCCAUAAGUAGUACUAUACACCCCAAUAUUACAUAAGACAUACUAUGUAUAUCGUGCAUUAACUGCUAGUCCCCAUGAAUAUUAAGCACGUACAGUAGUUUAUAUAUAUUACAUAAGACAUACUAUGUAUAU